GACGAACGCUGGCGGCGUGCCUAAUACAUGCAAGUCGAACGCACUCUCGUUUAGAUUGAAGGAGCUUGCUCCUGAUUGAUAAACAUUUGAGUGAGUGGCGGACGGUGAGUAACACGUGGGUAACCUGCCCUAAAGUGGGGAUAACAUUUGGAAACAGAUGCUAAUACCGCAUAAAACCUAACACCGCAUGGUGUAGGGUUGAAGGAUGGUUUCGGCUAUCACUUUAGGAUGGACCCGCGGUGCAUAGUUAGUUGGUGAGGUAAAGGCUCACCAAGACCGUGAUGCAUAGCCGACCUGAGAGGGUAAUCGGCCACACUGGGACUGAGACACGGCCCAGACUCCUACGGGAGGCAGCAGUAGGGAAUCUUCCACAAUGGACGAAAGUCUGAU
RNAcentral lists this ribosomal RNA (390 nucleotides) under uncultured bacterium. Its description in RNAcentral is "bacterial SSU rRNA". It matches the Rfam family "Bacterial small subunit ribosomal RNA", at positions 28 to 387 of the family's 1533-position model. The record is from RNAcentral.